UACGGGAGGCAGCAGUGGGGAAUCUUAGACAAUGGGCGCAAGCCUGAUCUAGCCAUGCCGCGUGAGUGACGAAGGCCUUAGGGUCGUAAAGCUCUUUCGCCAGAGAUGAUAAUGACAGUAUCUGGUAAAGAAACCCCGGCUAACUCCGUGCCAGCAGCCGCGGUA
Molecule: ribosomal RNA, 165 nt
Filed under: uncultured Loktanella sp.
Lineage: Bacteria; Pseudomonadati; Pseudomonadota; Alphaproteobacteria; Rhodobacterales; Roseobacteraceae
Description: partial 16S ribosomal RNA
Rfam family: Bacterial small subunit ribosomal RNA
Source: RNAcentral